UGCAAGUCGAGCGGUAACAUUUCUAGCUUGCUAGAAGAUGACGAGCGGCGACGGGUGAGUAACGCGUAGAAAUCUACCUAGUAGUGGGGGAUAGCCCAGAGAAAUUUGGAUUAAUACCGCAUACGCCCUACGGGGGAAAGCGGGGGAUCUUCGGACCUCGUGCUAUUAGAUGAGUCUGCGUCGGAUUAGCUUGUUGGUGAGGUAAUGGCUCACCAAGGCGACGAUCCGUAGCUGGUCUGAGAGGAUGACCAGCCACACUGGAACUGAGACACGGUCCAGACUCCUACGGGAGGCAGCAGUGGGGAAUAUUGCACAAUGGGCGCAAGCCUGAUGCAGCCAUGCCGCGUGUGUGAAGAAGGCCUUAGGGUUGUAAAGCACUUUCAGCAGUGAGGAAAGGGGUGUCGUUAAUAGCGCCAUCCUGUGACGUUAACUGCAGAAGAAGGACCGGCUAACUCCGUG
This 459-nucleotide ribosomal RNA is filed under the name uncultured bacterium. RNAcentral describes it as "bacterial SSU rRNA". It matches the Rfam family "Bacterial small subunit ribosomal RNA", at positions 56 to 507 of the family's 1533-position model. The record is from RNAcentral.